AAUCCUCUUCAGUGACCACGCUGGGCUGUCCCUCCGCCCACGUUAGCAGAGCCUUUCCGUCCCCUCACCCUUGGGCAGAUCUCACCCUCUGGCUGCCUCCGGCAUCCUCAAGAGAGACCUUUUCCUCCCAGAACCACUUACUUCACCCACCCAGAUCCACACUUGCAUUUCCCACGGCACAAAACCAUAACCCAAAGCCACUCUGGGGAUUUUAUUAUCGAGUUGGGGGUGGCGUGCUCGAGUGGUCUGACCCCCACCGCUCUGGAUGGAGACCCCGGGUAACAGCAGCCUUCCCUUAAGUCCCACCUCCCCUGGUCCUCUGCCCCUACCCAGUAGCGACAGGCAGGAGAAGCACUACUAGAUCGCAAGCCCUCGUCUCUGGAACCGGAGCUGCAGAGAGCGAAAAGUCGAACUGCAAGAACACAGUGAGAGAAAUGGGCAAAUGCGUUAAGGAAGGGGGAGCUGGGGGAAGGGCGCACGAGAGAAAUGAACAGGCACCGCACCAGCUGCUGAUGGACAUUAGGCUGUCACAUCUGUGCCCAUGUCUCCUAUUGAACAUGUUCUCUUGGAAGCCCUUGGAGGGGAAUGGUUGGUUGAUCAUAAGAAACAUAUAGAAUAGAGCCGAACCUAGUGUCCCAGGUUUCAGCUACUUGGGAGACGGAGACAGAAGAAUCCCAAGUUGAAAGCCUGCCUGGACUAAGAAUGAGUUAUGAGCCAAUCCUUGAUACUGCAUCAUGAUAUUCUCAAGAUGGAAAACUGCAGAAGGGCAGGGGAUACAGCUUAGUGCUGGGACGCUUGCCUCACCUUUGCUGAGGUUAAAGGUUAAGGGACAGAGGAUAUGAAGUGGACCUGGAGUGAGUCUGUGAGAGGUUGGGGGCGGGGAGAUGAUAUGAUCCUAACACAUUCUAUUUAUGCAUGAAAUUGUCAAAGAAUGGAUAAAUAAGUGAUUUUUAAAAAAAUAUGCAAGUGAGUCUACUUCAAAUGACUGAGUAAUGGUCUUCAGAAAUAAUUUUUUAUAAAUUUCAACAUUGAAAAAAUCCUGUAUAGUUUGGAACUUUAUGUCCAAGAAUGUAAUAAGUUUUAGAUUAAUUUUUCUAUGGUGUGGGUCGCUGAGCUCACAAGAUCCUUUGUAUUUGAAUUUUCAGUGGUUCAAUGAUCACAAUGUGAUAAUAGUAGAGAAAACAGGUAAUUGUGGUUGUGCACAAACUGACUUUGUUCUCUUUGAAAAACUGGGCCUGUGGUAUUUACCCACGGUUCUCAGGCACUCAGCCAGAUGCUAUGGCUAAUGCAUAAUUGCAGCCUAAUACAAUGAGAAAGGCACCACAGAUGUUUCUGGUUAGUUUCUACACAUCCUGACCUAUGUCCUUCAGAAUGUGGUGGACAUUCCAAGUCAGCUCCAGUAUAUUCCUUCCUGUCUCUCUCCUCAGCACAAUGCAUCUUGAAUGUUUUCCCUGAUAUAAGAUAGUUGGCAUUCAGCUUUGUUAAUACAGUCUAGAGAUGCCACAGCCAUAGGUUCAUAUAGGAGUGACCCUCACCGAGGUGGAGCAAACAGUCGAGCAGGAAUCUAUGGGAGAUUGCUUCCCUCUCACGCCCGGGAGCACUUCUGAGCUGCAUUGGAGAAAUCAGGUCUCAAUGGCCACAGCACAAGCUCAGGUCCACACCCUCAUUAGCCUUUCCUCUUUCCUUGUUGCAUUUCCCUGGGUCCCUUGUGGCUAUCUUUUGUGGUUAUGACACAAGUCAAACACCUGCACCCAAGUCUUUGUCUUGGAUGUGGCUCUCAGGGGAUCUCAGACCGAGACAAUGGUUAUUUUUAUCCUGUUAGAGGCAAUUAACUUUCACACACACACACAAAGACCUUUCAGCAUUGCCAAGCUAACAGGGUAGGUACAGGAACCUGAGCAUAGAUCUGCUGGCUCCAGGUCUUCAGGAUUGCCCUGCUUCUUCCUCAACACCCAGACAAAGGCAGUGUGAGUAGUAGUCUAGGGUCUGGGAUUUAGAGAAUGAGGAGCCAGGUUGCACAGCUGUGUCACCUGCUGACUCUGGAAAGGAAAAAAAAUCACUCACCACAUGCGGUGUCCCACUUUUAUCAUAUAAAAAGAUGGGCAUAGUUUUUAUUUUUAUCUCAAAGGACUAAAGGAAUUGGUAUUUAUAAAGCAGAAUUUAGUGUGAUGAGCUCAGAGUGUUGCUAUUACUUACUGUUUUUCCCCACUCACACCACACUCCAACUCUCUCCCUCAGUGUCCAAUGUACACAUGAUAAUCUAGUUAUAUUCCCAGGGGGAACAGGGAGGGAUGAAGCUGAGAUGAUCAAUAUCACAGCACAGACACAUCAUUUAAAGAUGACUGCAUCUUCUAGUGAAAUCAUCUGAUACGAGUACAAGGAAUCAAAUGAUUUUGUAAAAUCUGCAUCACGUUAGAAUGCCAAGAGACCACACGUGCCUCCCAGUUGCCUGACAAAGCAAACCAUGAAGUUGGCAGCCAUACUUUGGUAGGUCAUUCUCCACAAUGUUGUCAGGUUGUAUUUCCAGGUAUUAGUACAUUCCUAUCUGAAAGUCUCCUGGUUGUUUAGGUCUUUGUCUGUGUGUUUUCUCUCCACCACUGUAAGAAGUUCUCUGAAACUGAGAAACUUGACAAUCAAUCAUUUCCCAUGACUCUAGACUAGAGGAUGGAGCAGAGUGUGUAGUAAACAUCUGGGGCGGGGGGCAUUGAGAACCUUUAAAAAUGCCACUGUGUCUCCCAUUGAUCUUACAGAUUCCCAUUCACCUCACGUAUAGUUUUAUUCUUCCGUAUCUAAACUGUUGAUUCAAAAUUUGAUACACAAAAAUAAGUCAAGGUUCUAAGGAUAUUGAGGACAAUUGAUUACCCUGACCAUUUAUAGAUUUUAGAUGAUAUAGUUAACUGUGCUAAAGUCCAGAUAGAUAACAGGAUGAGGUAAGGUGAAGUUGAGUAGAGAGUGGUUUGGCUGGGCCUUGAGAGGCACACUCAGGUCACCUUUGCUUUCCUGCACCGCUCUGGAAGUGAGACCACAUCUGCUGUCUUCUUGUCUCAUCUCCUCUCUACAGUCCUCCUGUGCUGGGUCCUAUGCAUGUAGGGAAGCAGAAGUUUGCAAUCUUGAUGCAAGAGAACAUUGGCCUAGCAAAGAAGUGAUCACAAGUCUUCAUUCACCAAGCAAUUGACCAGUCAAAAUAACUGCUGAAGGGUGGACAUCAAUUUCAAAACAGCUCACAGGAAAGAAGGAAUGCAAUGGCAUGUCCCCAAGUUCACAGAUGCAUCUGACUUGAAGCCCAGAUGGAUCUAGGAGUCCAGAUGACCUUAUCAGGAUCCAUCCUCAAUUCUUCAUCUUUGAUUUCUGCUUUUCUUCAUUUACUGUUCAUUCUAGAGGAUAUUGGCCUCUCAGAUGAUCAGUAGUUUCACUUCCCAUUCAUCAUGCUUUGGAGGAUUUCUCUUGCUGAUAAAUUCCAAGAAGAGCUUUGGAUUACUACCUAUCUGAUAUGCAUUACAAGCCACUAUUAGAACUAAUUUUAUGGCCAAUGAGACAUCAAUGACAAGAUAAGAGCUCAACUUGAAGUUAAGGGUAGUGAACUUAUAAUGGGCCAAUACUGACUAGACUGUCGUGGGAGUUUGCACUCCAAACAAAAACAGAUAUCACCAUUAUGUGAAUGGAAAAUGAAUACCUGGAGGGUAAAAGCUGUGACUGUCUUUAAAGACUAUCCACAUACUCUCCACUGCAUCUUCAGAGUCAUAGAAAUCCCUUUGGAAUAUUCUGCCUAAUUCUUGAUUGCUUGACACUGUUAACUUUGAUGUUAUAGUUACCGAUAAAACCAGAUUGCUUUCUACAGUUCCUUCCCAAUCACCAUCAUUACCUAGAUCUGUUGUCUCUAUUGUUACACAAUCGAACAAACUAUCUAGUAAACAUGGUGUCUGCCCUGUAGACCAGGGAUUACUGUCUGGAUCCCAUUAACCACCACCAAUGGAAAAUCUGCCUGCACCUCUGUGCACAAUGUAGUGAUUUUAUCAUAAUUAUUAGAAAGAUAAAGAUCCUCUCUUCCCAUCUGGAAUUCAAGCACUAGAAAAGCUGCAAAUUGAUCCCAGUGUACAAGUUCUUUGAAUAAGGAGUCCACAGACUUGGACAGAAAAGGGUUAUAACAUUUAUUACGUAUUACAUUGUUAUUUCCACUUUUAAAAAGAAAUCUAGCAUUUCUUUUCAUUAUGAGCAUAGAUAACAGCCCAAAGUUGUAUUAGAAAUGCAUGCAACUUUGCUAUGAUCAAAAACAUUCAUUUUCACAUAUUAUUUACACUUGCCAGCACUUUGAAAUUAUAGUAAUUAUCAGAUGCGUUACUAAAUCUUGGCUAAUUUGCUAAUAAAAAAUACACAACUACACCUUUUAAAAGUAUUUUGUUGAACAAAUUUUAAUAUAAUUAGGUUACUUUGUAAUUCCAUGUGCCUUCUUUUAUGGAUGUUGAGCUGAGUCUUGCCAUCGGAUCACUGCACACCCAGUGCACUGUUCUAGCUGGGGCUCUGUCCACAGAGCUGCCUUGAGUUACCCUGCUCACUGGCCUCAUCCUCAGAUACCCUGCACAGCUUGCAACUGUUGGACUGGACGAUGGUGACUAUUUUCUCUUCUUUAGAAAUGUUCCAGAGUUUUUCAUGCUUCUCACUACCGUGACUGCCCCAGGAUCAGCUAGGCUCUACUGACAUGUGUUCUGGCUGAUGUCCAUUCAACUCACUCACCUGUGCUCCACCAUGCUCCUAAUGCCAGUCUUUGGAUAUUUUGUGUAUAAACCCUUAAUAAGAUAUUCAACCUUUCUUGUGGAGUUAUUAUGUAUCAGAUAGUAUUUUAAUCCUCUUAUGUAUAUUAAUUCAUCUUUUAAAAAAAGCAUGUAACAACAUAUUGUUACCUUCAACAAAAUCACCUCCUGAUUCACAGCACACCAAGGUCCCUGUGAUCUGGAAUUGCUGUACUUGCUGCAAGAUGCACUGCCUUCCAGACACAUUGAAGUUCUUGGUUUCACAAAUAUCUUUUUCACUUUCUAGCCUUUGAAAUUGUCUCCUGCCACUUCCACCUGCAAUUUUCUCAUCUCUUAUCACUAAAAUUACCAUUCAUAUCAGGCUGUCCAGAGCCUUCUUUUGUAACCUUAAGUGGGCAUACAAUGUCUCUCUUUGGUGUAGCCUGUAUUUGCUACUUGGAUGUCUGAUUGCAACAAGAUGUGGAAGCCAUAGACCACCUGUGAUACAGGGACUCAUUUAAUGUAGUGCAAUUACCCUUUUGUUAUCAGCAUAUAAGGAACAAGACAUGGGCCCUGGCACCAAGAAGCUUGGGUGAGACAUAGACACAUCUGCAUAAUCCAACAUCAGGUGAAAGUUAGGCACACUGGGAGGAUGGAGCUGCAGAAGUCAAAGACUGAACCACAGUCAGAGCCCAGAAUAGUGGAGGGGUGGCUGUGAUGGAGGAGGACAAGGUAAGCUCCCAGACACUAACAGAAGGGCAGGGAGAUAAGGCUCCCACCAAAGGCAGGACUGUGUUGAGACAUGUGUGAUCCCUGCAGAACCUUAGUGUGAUGAGGUUUCUAAGAAGGCAGACUGUGGAUCUAGACACACAUAUGGUAGAUUAGAGAAGAUGCUAGCUUUUAAACCUGGUACUGUUUGGCUUUGUGAUCAUCAUUAAUUUGCCUUGAUCCUAGGUGCCCUACUGUAUAACAUGGAGGGACCAAUCAUGUUUAUCUUCAGUAGCUUGAUGGGCUGGGCUACAGUGUGUGUGUGUGUGUGUGUGUGUGUGUGUGUGUGUGUGUGUGUGUAAAACCUUUGACGAAUGCCUUCAGGAGGAUCAUGUCGGGUUCUUCACAGAGUCUCUCAGCUCCUUAAGGUCUUGACACUUGCAGAGCAUCAUUUGGGGUUUGCCCGUGGGAUCCAGAUGGAAGAUGUGGUCAUUGCUUCGCUCUGCUUUCAGCCUCUCCUUUUGUUCACCUCAACCAAGACAUCAAACAUAGACCUAGAAGCAACCGUCUCCACAUGUGAUGACAGACAUCAUGGAGGAAGGCACUUUGAGGACACUCCUCAGCUGAGAGCAGCUUCUCCUGAGAGGGAGGCAAUUGAUACUUCAGGACAAGUCUGUUCUCCAGUUCUGGCCACAUAAAGCACCAUCUGCUGCCUAUGAGGCUCUGUGCUCCCAAUCUUCUUUCAGAGCAGAGCACAAGUUCCAUAUUCCAAAGUGGACCUGAAUCUCCUAACUGGUGAGCAGUUGGGACACUAAGCUAGCUAGGCCGGUUCACCGUUCCUAUCCUGGUCAUUUUUUCCAGACUCCAGUGCCCCAGGCUAAAACUCCCACUGGAAAUUGCUCUUGUUGAAGGACCUUGCCCAUGGGAACUCCAGAGGCCAAUAGGCAAUCAAUCCAACUACGCUCUCCAAGGAAGCCUUGGGGACCUCAGACAAACACCUGCAGAGCUUACGUUCGUAACUCAAAUAACUCUCACCAUUACAAGCCAAAGGAAGGACAAGCAGAGCGGUUGCCAUCUGCCAGGUCACUUUCCCUAAACACAUAGCUGGAUAACAAGGAAAUCCCAACUCCAAGCAAUAUUCCAGCCCCAGAAAAUAAAGUCUCUUCAAAGAGGAUUUCUCUAACUAAUGAUAUGGGAAAGAAGGUGAAAGAAGUAUUAACUUUAACUAGGUGAAUUCACACACACACACACACACACACACACACACACACACACACACUCACACUCACACACACUCACACACGCUUCUCAAGCAAAAUGUUUUCAGAAAACCUCUUGGGACCCAUGUUCUAUAUUUAACAAAGCAACAGCUCUCUCAAAUAGAAUGGAAUUUCUGUUAUUUAAAAAAAUGUAUAACUUGUUUUUUUA
Peromyscus maniculatus bairdii (prairie deer mouse) is the source of this 6863-nucleotide long non-coding RNA. RefSeq lists it as uncharacterized. Lineage: Eukaryota; Metazoa; Chordata; Mammalia; Rodentia; Cricetidae. The record is from RefSeq and is a predicted model, not a curated record.